Molecule: transfer RNA, 73 nt
Filed under: Sphaerodactylus townsendi
Lineage: Eukaryota; Metazoa; Chordata; Lepidosauria; Squamata; Sphaerodactylidae
Description: tRNA-Ala
Source: RNAcentral
GCUGUGGCUCAGUGAUAAAGCAUUUGCUUUGCAUGCAGGAAGUUCCAGGUUCAAUCCCCGGUUAAGAGGAACA